Molecule: long non-coding RNA, 101 nt
Organism: Cotesia glomerata
Lineage: Eukaryota; Metazoa; Arthropoda; Insecta; Hymenoptera; Braconidae
Exons: 3
Source: RefSeq, a predicted model, not a curated record
UAUACAUGUAAACAAUAAGCGAGUGUAGCGCCACUUUCUUAUAAGUCAUCGAUGAGCUAACCAGGCUUCCAAAAAAAAUAUUAAAAACUUCUUAGUUAUUA